Alligator mississippiensis (American alligator) is the source of this 501-nucleotide long non-coding RNA. RefSeq lists it as uncharacterized. The transcript has 2 exons. NCBI's taxonomy places the organism in Eukaryota, Metazoa, Chordata, Crocodylia, Alligatoridae. The record is from RefSeq and is a predicted model, not a curated record.
UGGGGCUUUGACUGGCAGCUCUACCCCAGGUAAUGAUUCCAGCUGCCUACAGCCUGGCCUCCUGAUUGGCUGCUGCCUGAUUUAGCUCAGCUGUGGCAGCAGGCUCUACACCACCCAACAGUUCCUGCUGACUCUAGCAAGUCUCUGUGAUCUAGUACUUUUGGUUUCCUGAGUGCUUGUUCUGUUCUUGGAUUGUAGCUUCUGAAUUUUCCCUUGGAUUUGGUCAUUUGGCUUCUGAGUCUGAAUCCAACUUGAAGUUCAGGACUUAGAGGAGUUCCAGAGCCUUAACAACUCCGGGGCCUGAGAACCGAACAGAGCCCAUGGAGCUUCGACAGCUCCAUGCGAAAGAAAUUGCCAAACCCGCGGAGACUUACAACUCCGGGGCCAAAGAACCGAAUUUGUCGUAGUCCUCCAACAAGGAUUUAAGUGGAGCUGCACCUGGAAACUGUCCAGCCUACACCGCGACCAUCUUGGGUGUAAGUAAAUAAUCUUUCAAUCAAC